CCUACGGGAGGCAGCAGUGAGGAAUAUUGGUCAAUGGGAGAGAUCCUGAACCAGCCAAGCCGCGUGAGGGAAGACGGUCCUAUGGGUUGUAAACCUCUUUUGUCGGAGAACAAAACCCGGGACGCGUCCCGGACUGCGUGUAUCCGACGAAAAAGCAUCGGCUAACUCCGUGCCAGCAGCCGCGGUAAUACGGGGGAUGCGAGCGUUAUCCGGAUUUAUUGGGUUUAAAGGGUGCGUAGGCGGUCCGUUAAGUCAGCGGUAAAAUUGCGGGGCUCAACCCCGGCGAGCCGUUGAAACUGGCAGACUGGAGUGGGCGAGAAGUACGCGGAAUGCGCGGUGUAGCGGUGAAAUGCAUAGAUAUCGCGCAGAACUCCGAUUGCGAAGGCAGCGUACCGGCGCCAGACUGACGCUGAGGCACGAAAGCGUGGGGAUCGAACAGGAUUAGAUACCCUGGUAGUC
Molecule: ribosomal RNA, 459 nt
Filed under: uncultured bacterium
Lineage: Bacteria
Description: partial 16S ribosomal RNA
Rfam family: Bacterial small subunit ribosomal RNA
Source: RNAcentral